GAUAACUUAUGUUUAUUUCAAACUUGGUCACAUGCUGUAUAUGUAAAUUUUUACCAAAAAGAACAGUUCAACUGUAUUGAUUUAAGGUAUAUGGUAAAGGUCACACCUAUUAAAUAUACAUGUAUACCUUGAAUUUGCAUUGGACCCUAUAAUGCUCCCUAUAUCAUUUAUAUUGUCAAUUAUUGCAUUCCAAAUUGCCAUUGUACACAAAACAAAAACCACUAAAAAGGAUGGCCAUCAUAUGCAAAAGCAAUAUAAAAUGCAUACCCAUCAGCUGAC
RNAcentral lists this long non-coding RNA (279 nucleotides) under Mytilus galloprovincialis (Mediterranean mussel). Lineage: Eukaryota; Metazoa; Mollusca; Bivalvia; Mytilida; Mytilidae. The record is from RNAcentral.